GACGAACGCUGGCGGCGUGCCUAAUACAUGCAAGUGGAACGCAUUGAUAUCACCGGAGCUUGCUCCACCGAUAUAAAUGAGUCGCGAACGGGUGAGUAACGCGUAGGUAACCUGCCUGAUAGCGGGGGAUAACUAUUGGAAACGAUAGCUAAUACCGCAUGAGAGUGUUUAACACAUGUUAGAGACUUAAAAGAUACAAUUGUAUCACUAUCAGAUGGACCUGCGUUGUAUUAGCUAGUUGGUAGGGUAGCGGCCUACCAAGGCAACGAUACAUAGCCGACCUGAGAGGGUGAUCGGCCACACUGGGACUGAGACACGGCCCAGACUCCUACGGGAGGCAGCAGUAGGGAAUCUUCGGCAAUGGACGAAAGUCUGACCGAGCAACGCCGCGUGAGUGAAGAAGGUUUUCGGAUCGUAAAGCUCUGUUGUAGCGGAAGAACGCGUGUAAGAGUGGAAAGUUACACAGUGACGUACGUACCAGAAAGGACG
RNAcentral lists this ribosomal RNA (489 nucleotides) under Streptococcus downei. RNAcentral's name for it is "bacterial SSU rRNA". It matches the Rfam family "Bacterial small subunit ribosomal RNA", at positions 28 to 494 of the family's 1533-position model. Lineage: Bacteria; Bacillati; Bacillota; Bacilli; Lactobacillales; Streptococcaceae. The record is from RNAcentral.